Molecule: ribosomal RNA, 468 nt
Filed under: uncultured bacterium
Lineage: Bacteria
Description: partial 16S ribosomal RNA
Rfam family: Bacterial small subunit ribosomal RNA
Source: RNAcentral
GACGAACGCUGGCGGCGUGCUUAACACAUGCAAGUCGAACGGAAAGGCCCUGCUUUUGUGGGGUGCUCGAGUGGCGAACGGGUGAGUAACACGUGAGUAACCUGCCCUUGACUUUGGGAUAACUUCAGGAAACUGGGGCUAAUACCGGAUAGGAGCUCCUGCUGCAUGGUGGGGGUUGGAAAGUUUCGGCGGUUGGGGAUGGACUCGCGGCUUAUCAGCUUGUUGGUGGGGUAGUGGCUUACCAAGGCUUUGACGGGUAGCCGGCCUGAGAGGGUGACCGGCCACAUUGGGACUGAGAUACGGCCCAGACUCCUACGGGAGGCAGCAGUGGGGAAUGUUGCACAAUGGGCGGAAGCCUUAUGCAGCAACGCCGCGUGCGGGAUGACGGCCUUCGGGUUGUAAACCGCUUUCGCCUGUGACGAAGCGUGAGUGACGGUAAUGGGUAAAGAAGCACCGGCUAACUACGUG